This 368-nucleotide ribosomal RNA is filed under the name uncultured bacterium. RNAcentral describes it as "partial 16S ribosomal RNA". It matches the Rfam family "Bacterial small subunit ribosomal RNA", at positions 356 to 736 of the family's 1533-position model. The record is from RNAcentral.
GGGGAAUAUUGCACAAUGGGCGAAAGCCUGAUGCAGCGACGCCGCGUGCGGGAUGAAGGCCUUCGGGUUGUAAACCGCUUUUAAUUGGGAGCAAGCGAGAGUGAGUGUACCUUUUGAAUAAGCACCGGCUAACUACGUGCCAGCAGCCGCGGUAAUACGUAGGGUGCAAGCGUUAUCCGGAAUUAUUGGGCGUAAAGAGCUCGUAGGCGGUUUGUCACGCCUGGUGUGAAAGUCCAUCGCUUAACGGUGGAUCUGCGCCGGGUACGGGCAGGCUAGAGUGCAGUAGGGGAGAUUGGAAUUCCCGGUGUAACGGUGGAAUGUGUAGAUAUCGGGAAGAACACCAAUGGCGAAGGCAGAUCUCUGGGCUG